AGUACGAGACGCUAAGGCGUCGAAGUAGUGGAUGUCAUGCUUCCAAGAAAAGCUUGCACUGUCAUAAAUAAAGAACGCCUGUACCAUAACCGACACAGGUGGGUAGGUAGAGUAUACUAAGGGGCGCGAGAUAACUCUCUCUAAGGAACUCGGCAAAAUGACUCCGUAACUUCGGGAGAAGGAGUGCCUUAUUCGUAAGGCUGCAAUAACAAGAUCCAAGCAACUGUUUAUCAAAAACACAGGUCUCCGCUAAGUCGUAAGACGAUGUAUGGGGGCUGACGCCUGCCCAGUGCCAGAAGGUUAAAGAAGUCGGUUAGCAUUAGCGAAGCUGGUAACUGAAGCCCUGGUGAACGGCGGCCGUAACAAUAACGGUCCUAAGGUAGCGAAAUUCCUUGUCGGGUAAGUUCCGACCCGCACGAAAGGCGUAAUGAUUUGGAUACUGUCUCGGAGAGGGGCUCGGUGAAAUAGACUUGUCUGUGAAGAUGCGGACUACCUGCACCAGGACAGAAAGACCCUAUGAAGCUUUACUGUAACUUGAAAUUGAAAUUGGACUUUAUUCGCGCAGUAUAGGUGGGAGGUGUUGAUUAUAAUCUUGCGGGAUUAUUGGAGCCAUCAGUGAGAUACCACUCUUGUAAUGUUAGAUUUCUAACUUUGUAUCAUUAUCUGGUCAAAGAACAGUUUCAGGCGGGCAGUUUGACUGGGGCGGUCGCCUCCUAAAUGGUAACGGAGGCGUACAAAGGUUUCCUCUGAACGGGUAGAAAUCGUAUCUAGAGUGUAAAGGCAUAAGGAAGCUUGACUGUGAGACCUACAAGUCGAGCAGGGACGAAAGUCGGUCUUAGUGAUCCGACGGUACUGAGUGGAAAGGCCGUCACUCAACGGAUAAAAGUUACUCUAAGGAUAACAGGCUGAUCUCCCCCAAGAGUUCACAUCGACGGGGAGGUUUGGCACCUCGAUGUCGGCUCAUCGCAUCCUGGGGCGGUAGUACGUCCCAAGGGUUGGGCUGUUCGCCCAUGAAAGCGGUACGCGAGCUGGGUUCAGAACGUCGUGAGACAGUUCGGUCCAUAUCCGGUGUAGGCGUUAGAAUAUUGAGAGGAGCCUUCUUUAGUACGAGAGGACCGAGAAGGACAUACCUCUGGUGUACCAGUUAUCGUGCCAACGGUAAACGCUGGGUAGCUAUGUAUGGAGUGGAUAACCGCUGAAAGCAUCUAAGUGGGAAGCACACCUCAAGAUAAGUAUUCUCAUC
Molecule: ribosomal RNA, 1243 nt
Filed under: metagenome
Description: bacterial LSU rRNA
Rfam family: Bacterial large subunit ribosomal RNA
Source: RNAcentral